AUGCUCCUUUGGAGAGGCAGCCUCAAGUCCAGAGCGGUGACUACCCCCAGCAUCACGCAGGACACUGGUGUCCAGAGCAAACAUCACGCGCUGUCUCUACGGGGAGAGCCGGCAGCUGUGCAGAAGAGCCACCGCCUGUGGAUCACMCCACACCGCUUGGAUCUCCACCAGCAACGCAGGUGUUGUCCAAAAGCCCCGGAGAMGCAGGAUGUGCACGAGGUCUGUGACUCAGCCGGGAUGUUUCCCUGGCACAUCCCUCCUACCCCGGAGCACAGGUGCUGCAGCUACCGGUGGAGUAGGACAUUCCCUCCUUGCUCAGCCUUUGCCCCCCUGCAGCAGUGCGUGACGAUGAAACGUGCUGCUUCUCAAGUUGGCCGUGACUUUGAAGAUAGGGGCUGUCUUUUACUUUUAUAUUUGCAGAGGGCCCGGCCAUACAGGACUCAGAGCCUGGCURCGGGAAGUUUGGGCUCUUUAGUAGCAAUAAUAAAUAAUGAAAAAUGUAGUUCAUGUUUUGCUCUUCCAUUUGUGCCUUUUCAUCUUAACAUCUCAAGAGCCUGUUUGAAACCUUCAAUUAAACUUCCUGUUUGUUAUUCAAGAUUUGUGAGGGAGGAAACUGAGGCACAGGUGAGAAUUAUCUGA
RNAcentral lists this long non-coding RNA (639 nucleotides) under Dromaius novaehollandiae (emu). RNAcentral's name for it is "lncRNA (ENSDNVG00000000149.1)". The record is from RNAcentral. Lineage: Eukaryota; Metazoa; Chordata; Aves; Casuariiformes; Dromaiidae.